This 329-nucleotide unclassified non-coding RNA is filed under the name soil metagenome. Its description in RNAcentral is "partial contains 5.8S ribosomal RNA, internal transcribed spacer 2, and large subunit ribosomal RNA". The stretch from base 1 to 120 matches the Rfam family "5.8S ribosomal RNA", at positions 35 to 154 of the family's 154-position model. The record is from RNAcentral.
GAUGAAGAACGCAGUGAAAUGCGAUAAGUAAUGUGAAUUGCAGAAUUCAGUGAAUCAUCGAAUCUUUGAACGCACAUUGCGCCCUCUGGUAUUCCGGGGGGCAUGCCUGUUCGAGCGUCAUUAUAACCACUCAAGCUCUCGCUUGGUAUUGGGGUUCGCGGUUCCGCGGCCCCUAAAAUCAGUGGCGGUGCCUGUCGGCUCUACGCGUAGUAAUACUCCUCGCGAUUGAGUCCGGCAGGUCUACUUGCCAGCAACCCCCAAUUUUUACAGGUUGACCUCGGAUCAGGUAGGGAUACCCGCUGAACUUAAGCAUAUCAAUAAGCGGAGGA